UGGGGAAUAUUGGGCAAUGGGCGAAAGCCUGACCCAGCAACGCCGCGUGAAGGAAGAGGCUUUCGGGUUGUAAACUUCUUUGACAGGGGAAGAGUAGAAGACGGUACACUGAAAACAAGCCACGGCUAACUACGUGCCAGCAGCCGCGGUAAUACGAAGGUGGCAAGCGUUGUCCGGAUUUACUGGGUGUAAAGGGCGUGCAGCCGGGAAGGCAAGUCAGAUGUGAAAUCCGUGGGCUUAACCCACGAACUGCAUUUGAAACUGCUUUUCUUGAGUAUCGGAGAGGUAAUCGGAAUUCCUAGUGUAGCGGUGAAAUGCGUAGAUAUUAGGAAGAACACCAGUGGCGAAGGCGGAUUACUGGACGACAACUGACGGUGAGGCGCGAAAGCGUGGGGAGCAAACAGG
Molecule: ribosomal RNA, 405 nt
Filed under: uncultured prokaryote
Also listed under: 1 other name
Description: bacterial SSU rRNA
Rfam family: Bacterial small subunit ribosomal RNA
Source: RNAcentral